GACGAACGCUGGCGGCGUGCUUAACACAUGCAAGUCGAACGGAAAGGCCCCUUUGGGUUUACUCGAGGGGCGAACGGGUGAGUAACACGGGAGUAACCUGCCCUUUAUUUCUUUUUAACUUCGGUAAACUGGGGCUAAUUCCGGUAAUAAAGCCUUCCUCCUUGGUGUGGGUUGGAAAGCUUCUGGGGUUUUGGAUGGAUUCGCGGCGUAUCAGCGUGUUGGUGGGGUAGUGGGUUACCAAGGCUCUGAGGGGUAGCCGGCCUGAGAGGGCGACCGGCGACAUUGGGACUGAGAUACGGCACAGACUCCUACGGGAGGAAGCAGUGGGGAAUAUUGCACCAUGGGCGGAAGCUUGAUGCAGCAACGCUGCGUGCGGGAUGACGGCCUUCGGGUUGUAAACCGCUUUCAGCAGGGGCGAAGCUUGUGGUGACGGUACCUGAAGAAGAAGCACCGGCUAACUACGUG
RNAcentral lists this ribosomal RNA (465 nucleotides) under uncultured bacterium. Its description in RNAcentral is "partial 16S ribosomal RNA". It matches the Rfam family "Bacterial small subunit ribosomal RNA", at positions 28 to 507 of the family's 1533-position model. The record is from RNAcentral.